This 772-nucleotide small RNA is filed under the name Pongo abelii (Sumatran orangutan). RNAcentral describes it as "processed transcript". Lineage: Eukaryota; Metazoa; Chordata; Mammalia; Primates; Hominidae. The record is from RNAcentral.
AGUCAUUUCAAGUAUCUAUGUCCAUUGCAGCUGCUCGGGAACUCAUAGGAAGAUCUCAGUUUUUGCAAACUCAUGGAAGAAUCACCUGGCAUGAUGGAAGUGGUUCAUUGCAUGAUAUUCAACUGUCGUUGCCAUCCAGUCCGGAACCAGAAGAUGGUGAUAAAGUAUAUAAGAAUGAAGAUUUAUUAAAUGAAAUAAAACAACUUAAAGAGGAAAUAAAGAAAAAAGAUGAAAAGAUCCAACUAUUAGAACUUCAGCUUGCAACUCAGCAUAUCUGCCACCAAAAAUGUAAAGAGGAAAAAUGCACUUAUGCUGAUAAAUAUACCCAAACACCCUGGAGACGAAUUCCUCCUCAAGUACUACAGCCUUCCAGCAGCCUUCCCAGACCCACAGACCACACCCAGGGAAAACUAAUAAAGCCACAACGUAUCGAGGCCCGCAGUGAAUGCGCAAUCCAAGACAUGCAUCAGGGCAUUGCACAUCCAGAAGAAAGCUUUACACACGUCUUGCAACAAGAAAGCAACUAUGGUUUGGAAGAGCAGCCUUUUUCAUCAGGCCCACAAUUAACAAUGGAUGUGGCUAAGAGUACACCUUCUGAAGCAAACUUAAACAUUACUGUAAAUGCUCAAGAGCCUUAUCAUUUGGCAAACAAUCAAAUUAGUGACAUGCAGUUUAUACCCACUUCUCUUCAGACACCUCCCGAGUCAAGUACAGUAGACCAGGCUAAGAGAGUUGGAAGAAAUCAGUCUCCGCCAGUGGGUUAUACGUCUCA